AUGCUACAAAACUGCAAGACCUAUCAUUGCCAGGAGGAUGGUGUAAUUGAAAUGGUCGAUCUUGGUGAACAUGACUACAGGUUCUUUGGCAGCCAGUUCUCGGAGCUCGAGCCCGUAGCUAUUGAUCUUAGCCAGGGGCGUUCUCCCGAAAAGACAAGAUCUGGUGUUAUGAAGGGGCGGUUGGGAGCUCUGAGAGGUUCUACAGCUGCUUGUGCAGAGAGCCCUACUAGACCCAAGAAUCCCAUUGUGGAAUUGAUAGACAGCGAUGAUGAUGUGUUCAACAAGAUUGCUGGCGUUGGAAGAGUCAUGAGGAGCGCUGCUGCCAAAGGUUUAUGUCCCCUUGCUGGAAUAGUGGCUCGUAGAGCUGGUGGUGCUAGGAAAGAUCCUGCUUUGGAUUCUGGCAAUGUUGUAAGCACAAAGCGUGCGCCCAGAGCUCCUAUAAAGUUUUUCUCCCCUGUGCAGCAGCUUCACCCUCAUAAAUUCCCUCACCUGGACAAGGCUCGCAGGUUGUAUAAUCUGUUGCUUAGUGAUGAAUGGCGUCAUAAGUAUGCCGAGAAUACAUUCUCAAUGAUACCUCAGCCUGAUGAAAGCGUAACUAGCUUCACUAGGAAUCGCAUCUGGGAAGUUUUUUCACCUGGGCAAAUGAUGGAGGGUGAUGUUGUGCUUGAAUGUAUGUUUUAUGGUGAUGAAAAUAAAGUGUUUAAUGUGGAGAGUGCAGCGAGACAUUUCAAGAGCUAUGUUAAAGAUAAGGAAGGCUUGCUCAGUGCCGACCUUAUCAUGAUGCCUCUAUUCAAGCCUAUAAUUUUAGGAAAGGAUAAGAAAGUGAACCACUAUUCCUUAUAUGUCAUGAAUCGGUACCGCAGUAGCGUUGACAUCCUUGACUCUUUACCUUAUCCUAAGAACCGCCGUCCUUCAAAGAACACCUAUCAUAAAGACUGCGAGAAGAUUAUUUCUAGAUUGGUCAAAGUAAUGAAGGUUGUGUAUGGUGAUGCUCAGUACAAUGCGAGCAAGCAGCCCAAUUGGGAGCUGUUUGAAAACAAACCAACAUUUGUCAAGGUUCCACUUCACAGGGAAAAUUGA
Molecule: ribosomal RNA, 1080 nt
Filed under: Triticum aestivum (bread wheat)
Lineage: Eukaryota; Viridiplantae; Streptophyta; Magnoliopsida; Poales; Poaceae
Description: partial small subunit ribosomal RNA
Source: RNAcentral